RNAcentral lists this ribosomal RNA (970 nucleotides) under uncultured eukaryote. Its description in RNAcentral is "bacterial SSU rRNA". It matches the Rfam family "Eukaryotic small subunit ribosomal RNA", at positions 50 to 1030 of the family's 1831-position model. The record is from RNAcentral.
CAUGCAAGUCUAAGUAUAUGCUGAAUAGCUGAGACUGCAGAUGGCUCAUUAAAACAGUUAUAGUUUAUUUGAUGGUCCCUUUGCUAAUUGGAUAACCGUAGUAAUUCUAGAGCUAAUACAUGCAUAAAGCCCUGACUUCGGAAAGGGCGUGUUUAUUAGAUAAAACCAAUUGCCCUAACGGGUAUUAGGUGAUUCAUAGUAACUUCUCGGAUCGGAUGUCUUCGCGACGCCGACAGAUCAUUCAAAUUUCUGCCCUAUCAGCUUUCGAUGGUACGGUAGUGGCCUACCAUGGCGGUGACGGGUGACGGAGAAUUAGGGUUCGAUUCCGGAGAGGGAGCCUGAGAAACGGCUACCACAUCUAAGGAAGGCAGCAGGCGCGUAAAUUACCCAAUCCUGACGCAGGGAGGUAGUGACAAGAAAUAUCAAUAGAUUGAACACAGUUCUGUCUAAUUGGAAUGAGUACAUUCUAAACCCCUUAACGAGAACCAAUUGGAGGGCAAGUCUGGUGCCAGCAGCCGCGGUAAUUCCAGCUCCAAUAGCGUAUAUUAAAGUUGUUGCGGUUAAAAAGCUCGUAGUUGGAUUUCUGUGUUGGUGAGGCGGCCGGCCACUCGUGGUUGUAGCUAGUUAUCACCGGCGCAUCUUGUCACAAGCCACGCUGGCCUUAACUGGUUGGCGCUGGGGACUGACUCGUUUACUUUGAGAAAAUUAGAGUGUUCAAAGCAGGCUAUCGCCUUGAAUAUGUUAGCAUGGAAUAAUGAUAUAGGACUUUGGUUCUAUUUUGUUGGUUGUUCGAGAACCGAAGUAAUGAUUGAUAGGGACAGUUGGGGGCAUCAGUAUUCUGAAGCGAGAGGUGAAAUUCUUGGACCUUCGGAAGACUAACAACUGCGAAAGCAUUUGCCUAGGAUGUUCUCUUUAAUCAAGAACGAAAGUAUGGGGAUCGAAGACGCUUAGAUACCGUCGUAGUCUAUAC